Molecule: long non-coding RNA, 273 nt
Organism: Zingiber officinale
Lineage: Eukaryota; Viridiplantae; Streptophyta; Magnoliopsida; Zingiberales; Zingiberaceae
Exons: 3
Source: RefSeq, a predicted model, not a curated record
CUUUUUGAUCUAAAGGCACCCUGUGAAGCAGAAACUCAAUGCGUAGCUCUUUGCAAAAGUGACAAGGUAUUUGCGGUUGCCUCAAAAGACAUGGAUACUUUAACUUUUGGGGCACCAAGGUUUCUCCGUCAUUUAAUGGAUUCAAGUUCCAAAAAAAUCUCUGUGAUGGAAUUUGAAGUUUCAAAGGUUCUUGAAGAGCUAAGACUCACUAUGGAUCAGUUUAUUGAUUUGUGUAUUCUCUCUGGAUGUGAUUAUUGUGAUAGCAUUAAAGGU